UAGAGCAUGAGCUCCGCCUCCUCUGUUCCUUGACGGAUGAAUAAUGUUUCUGCUGUGCUAUUCCGACCUAGUCUUGUUCUAUUGGCGGCAGCGGAUCUGGACAAAAGGACCCACUUGCGGGUCACCGGUCCUUUAGGGCUGGGUACAGAGAACAUGAGUAUCUGUUCAGUGUCACAGCUCCAAUUUCAGGACGUGACUUUUCCUAUGCCAUCGGCUUCAUCAGGGGCCCUGUGACCAGAACGCAGCACUUCUUCUCCACCAUCUUAAGCCAGCCCCCCGGUACAUAGUUGUAUGUUUUUAGUUGUUGGUCCUUCUAGUUGCGGCAUGUGGGACACCGCCUCAACACGGCCUGAUGAGCAGUGCCAUGUCCACACCCAGGAUUCGAACUGGCAAAACCCUGGACUGCCGAAGCGGAGCGCAUGAACUUAACCACUUGGUCACCGGGCCGGCCCCUGCAUUUAUUAAUACAUUGUUUCCUGCCAGCAUUUUGACAAAAUCAGAAAUAAUAGAUUCCCCUAUCAAAUUCACAUCUAUCACUUCCUAUUCUGCCCAUUAAAAAGCACAGUUGUGGAUGUCAAGAAAGCUCUGCCAUCCAUCAGAAGAUUUUUUGCAUUUGCUAGAGUUAAAAUAAACAAAAAAUCAGUCACUUAAUACUCUUAGUUGGAUGAGAAGGAAAACACCAAUGAAUCAAUUCUCUUUUCUUCCUGCUCUGCUUUCUAUCAGUCAUUCAACAAAUAUUUAAGAAUGUCCUUUGGUGACAGUCACUAAGCUAGAGAUUGGGAAAUAUAAGUGGAUAAGGUGAGAUAAUGACUUUCAAGAAGAGACGGAUGACGAGGGAGCACCUCCAUUUGCUGUGGACCCUGUGUGUGCCAGGCGCUCUGCUAGGCCCUGUAUGUACCGUAUCACCAGGCAGAUCCAGGAUUUAGGGGUCUUCUUUAGCAAAAAGAAUACAAAAUUACAAAAACAAAACUAGGUACAGGGCCUUAGAAGAGGCUUGAAUCAGAUCCCAUCACUUUCUUACCUAUAGACCUAUAAAAAACAUCCCUUUCACACUGGGAAUAAAAUCUAAACUCUUUACCUUGGCCUUUUAUCAUUUGGUCCCUUGUAGACGCCCCCUUUGGAGCCCUAUAUUAAAUAUGGAGUGCAUUUUCCCUAUUUGAAGUAUCAACCAAAUUGGCGUUUGACUGACAGAGACAGGGAAGGAAUCACUAGCUCAACAGUUCCCAAAAUUCGGUCUUCAAAAGCCUAUGUGGAGGACUCUUUUCACCAGAGGAGAGCCCUGCCCCAACCCAGUGAUGCUGAAUCAGUGUCUCUGUGGGUGUGGUCCACGGAGACGCACUUUAGCAAGGGGCACCCCCAGAAAGUCUGAUAAAGUUUAAGAUCACUGCUCUAAAUCUAGACACAGGAUUUCAGUUUGAAGAUCAUUAGCAGCAGAACUUUGGUUUAUAUUAAUUACAAAGAGAAAGAUGAAACAGUGAACAUUUCUCAACUGUGGGCUGUUCAUAAAAAUGACUGGGCCCCAAGCCCCUUCCUAUUUCCGUCCCGGAUUCGGAUGUAACUGAUCUGAGUGGCCUCUGGAUGUUGUGUGCCCUAGAUAAUGUACAGUAUAUUUCGAUGAGAUAUUGCAGGAAGUAAUCCUAACAUAAGACCAGG
RNAcentral lists this long non-coding RNA (1653 nucleotides) under Equus caballus (horse). RNAcentral describes it as "lncRNA (ENSECAG00000045008.1)". The record is from RNAcentral. Lineage: Eukaryota; Metazoa; Chordata; Mammalia; Perissodactyla; Equidae.